AUUCCUGCUAUUGCAACCUCGACAGCAAUGGCAACUGGUCUCGUGUGCUUGGAGUUGUACAAGGUUCUUGAUGGGGGGCACAAACUAGAAGACUACCGCAAUACAUUUGCCAACCUAGCACUACCUUUGUUCUCCAUGGCAGAGCCAGUCCCGCCCAAGGUUAUCAAGCAUCGUGACAUGAAGUGGACCGUUUGGGACAGGUGGAUCAUUAAGGAUAAUCCUACUUUGAGGGAACUUCUUCAAUGGCUCAAGGAUAAGGGGCUGAAUGCUUAUAGCAUUUCAUGUGGCAGUUGCCUGCUCUACAAUAGCAUGUUCCCUAAGCAUAGAGAAAGAAUGGACAGGAAGGUGGUGGAUUUGGUUAGGGAAGUGGCAAAAUUAGAAUUGCCUCCAUUCCGUUCUCAUUUUGAUGUUGUUGUGGCAUGCGAAGACGAUGAGGACAAUGAUAUUGAUAUUCCUCCGG
This 460-nucleotide unclassified non-coding RNA is filed under the name Hevea brasiliensis (rubber tree). The record is from RNAcentral. Lineage: Eukaryota; Viridiplantae; Streptophyta; Magnoliopsida; Malpighiales; Euphorbiaceae.